This is a long non-coding RNA of Pipra filicauda (Wire-tailed manakin), 302 nucleotides long. RefSeq lists it as uncharacterized. NCBI's taxonomy places the organism in Eukaryota, Metazoa, Chordata, Aves, Passeriformes, Pipridae. The record is from RefSeq and is a predicted model, not a curated record. The transcript is spliced from 2 exons.
UCCCGUCCCGUGCUGGCCCCGCACGCACCUGCCAGCACGGCCAGCGCGGCGAUCAGCGCCACAGCGCGCAUCGUCGGUCCCGUGAAGGGCGGCGACGGAGGCAGAGAGGGAAGGGGAAGGAAUAUCGCGACAGAUGCUCCCAGUGUCUUUGCCGGGUCGUGCCAAUCCCAAGAAGUGAUGCCCAAGAGGUCUGGAAAAGAAGAUGCUGAAUCAGUCACUCGGAUGUUAACCUGGGACACACAGCCCCGGCAAACCUCCGGCAGUCCCUUUGUGCACGGCGCAAUUAAAACUGACUGGCAAUA